CCGGCGUACCGGCGCACGGGUGAGUAACGCGUAUGCAACUUUACCUAGUCAGAGGGGGAUAACCCGGCGAAAGUCGGACUAAUACCGCAUGAAGCAGGGGCCCCGCAUGGGGAUAUUUGCUAAAGAUUCAUCGCUGAUAGAUAGGCAUGCGUUCCAUUAGGCAGUUGGCGGGGGUAACGGCCCACCAAACCGACGAUGGAUAGGGGUUCUGAGAGGAAGGUCCCCCACAUUGGUACUGAGACACGGACCAAACUCCUACGGGAGGCAGCAG
This 271-nucleotide ribosomal RNA is filed under the name uncultured bacterium. RNAcentral describes it as "partial 16S ribosomal RNA". It matches the Rfam family "Bacterial small subunit ribosomal RNA", at positions 87 to 354 of the family's 1533-position model. The record is from RNAcentral.